GCUGGUGGCGGUGGCGCACACCUGUAAUCCCUGUGGCUCAGGAGGCUGAGGCAGGAGGAUCCUGAGUUCAAAGCCAGCCUCAGCAACUUAGUGAGGUCCUAGCAACUCAGCGAGACCCUGUCUCUA
This 126-nucleotide small RNA is filed under the name Marmota monax (woodchuck). The record is from RNAcentral. Lineage: Eukaryota; Metazoa; Chordata; Mammalia; Rodentia; Sciuridae.